GAUGAACGCUGGCGGCGUGCUUAACACAUGCAAGUCGAACGGAAAGGCCCAAGCUUGCUUGGGUGCCCGAGUGGCGAACGGGUGAGUAACACGUGGGUGAUCUGCCCUGCACUUUGGGAUAAGCCUGGGAAACUGGGUCUAAUACCGGAUAGGACCAUCGUUUAGUGUCGGUGGUGGAAAGUUUUUCGGUGUGGGAUGAGCUCGCGGCCUAUCAGCUUGUUGGUGGGGUAAUGGCCUACCAAGGCGUCGACGGGUAGCCGGCCUGAGAGGGUGUACGGCCACAUUGGGACUGAGAUACGGCCCAGACUCCUACGGGAGGCAGCAGUGGGGAAUAUUGCACAAUGGGCGCAAGCCUGAUGCAGCGACGCCGCGUGGGGGAUGACGGCCUUCGGGUUGUAAACUCCUUUCGCCAAGGACGAAGCGUUUUGUGACGGUACUUGGAGAAGAAGCACCGGCUAACUACGUG
This 466-nucleotide ribosomal RNA is filed under the name uncultured bacterium. Its description in RNAcentral is "partial 16S ribosomal RNA". It matches the Rfam family "Bacterial small subunit ribosomal RNA", at positions 28 to 507 of the family's 1533-position model. The record is from RNAcentral.